UACCAAUGAAAAACAAUGCCGAAACAAAGAAGGCAACGAAGCACAAAGAACAUAAAAUACAACUCUAACUCAGAAUCUAGCACAUCACACCUUGCCUACCAUCAAACCAACAAAGAGAAAAACUUGAAGUAGUGGCUAACCGAUGGAGACGAAAAAAUCCACGACACCGGACAGCGGCUCCUCCUAUACCAAUGAAGACUA
This 201-nucleotide long non-coding RNA is filed under the name Arabidopsis lyrata. Its description in RNAcentral is "long non-coding RNA (ALYR_LNC002845)". Lineage: Eukaryota; Viridiplantae; Streptophyta; Magnoliopsida; Brassicales; Brassicaceae. The record is from RNAcentral.